AACGAACGCUGGCGGCAUGCCUAACACAUGCAAGUCGAACGAUGCCUCCGGGCUUAGUGGCGCACGGGUGCGUAACGCGGGGGAAUCUGCCCUUGGGUUCGGAAUAACUCGCCGAAAGGCGAGCGAAUACCGGAUGAUGACGUAAGUCCAAAGAUUUAUCGCCCAAGGAUGAGCCCGCGUAGGAUUAGCUAGGUGGUGGGGUAAAGGCCCACCAAGGCGACGAUCCUUAGCUGGUCUGAGAGUAUGAUCAGCCACACUGGGACUGAGACACGGCCCAGACUCCUACGGGAAGCAGCAGUGGGGAAUAUUGGACAAUGGGCGAGAGCCUGAUCCAGCAAGGCCGCGUGAGUGAUGAAGGCCUUAGGGUUGUAAAGCUCUUUUAACCGGGCUGAUAAUGACAGUACCGGGAGAAUAAGCACCGGCUAACUCCGUG
This 433-nucleotide ribosomal RNA is filed under the name uncultured bacterium. RNAcentral's name for it is "partial 16S ribosomal RNA". It matches the Rfam family "Bacterial small subunit ribosomal RNA", at positions 29 to 507 of the family's 1533-position model. The record is from RNAcentral.